RNAcentral lists this ribosomal RNA (466 nucleotides) under uncultured bacterium. RNAcentral's name for it is "partial 16S ribosomal RNA". It matches the Rfam family "Bacterial small subunit ribosomal RNA", at positions 339 to 795 of the family's 1533-position model. The record is from RNAcentral.
CUACGGGUGGCUCCAGUGGGGAAUAUUGGACAAUGGGGGAAACCCUGAUCCAGCAAUGCCGCGUGUGUGAAGAAGGCCUGCGGGUUGUAAAGCACUUUCGGUUGGGAGGACUGCUUCUAGCACUAAUAUUGUUGGAAGUUGACGUUACCUUCAGAAGAAGCACCGGCUAACUCCGUGCCAGCAGGCCGCGGUAAUACGGAGGGUGCAAGCGUUAAUCGGAAUUACUGGGCGUAAAGCGCGCGUAGGCGGCUAGAUCAGUCGGGUGUGAAAGCCCCGGGCUUAACCUGGGAACUGCAUCCGAUACUGUCUAGCCUGAGUACAGGAGAGGAGAGUGGAAUUCCACAUGUAGCGGUGAAAUGCGUAGAUAUGUGGAGGAACACCAAUGGCGAAGGCAGCUCUCUGGCCUGAUACUGACGCUGAGGUGCGAAAGCGUGGGGAGCAAACAGGAUUAGAUACCCGAGUAGUC